GACGAACGCUGGCGGCGUGCUUAACACAUGCAAGUCGAACGGAAAGGCCCUGCUUUUGUGGGGUGCUCGAGUGGCGAACGGGUGAGUAACACGUGAGUAACCUGCCCUUGACUUUGGGAUAACUUCAGGAAACUGGGGCUAAUCUCGGAUAGGAGCUCCUGCUGCAUGGUGGGGGUUGGAAAGUUUCGGCGGUUGGGGAUGGACUCGCGGCUUAUCAGCUUGCUGGUGGGGUAGUGGCUUACCAAGGCUUUGACGGGUAGCCGGCCUGAGAGGGUGACCGGCGACAUUGGGACUGAGAUACGGCCCAGACUCCUACGGGAGGCAGCAGGGGGGAAUAUGGCACAAUGGGCGGAAGCCUGAGGCAGCAACGCCGCGUGCGUGAUGACGGCCUUCUGGUUGUAAACCGCUUUCGCCUGUGACGAAGCGUGAGUGACGGUAAUGGGUAAAGAAGCACCGGCUAACUACGUG
This 468-nucleotide ribosomal RNA is filed under the name uncultured bacterium. RNAcentral describes it as "partial 16S ribosomal RNA". It matches the Rfam family "Bacterial small subunit ribosomal RNA", at positions 28 to 507 of the family's 1533-position model. The record is from RNAcentral.